UCACUAGAAAAAAUUUCAGAGUACCGCAUUUGUUUUCCCCGCGCCGCCGCCGCGUUCAUUGGCCCAACCGUACCAUGUGACCUCCGGGGUGCCAUAUACCUUCCAAGCGCCGGGCGGGCCGCCUGAGUUAAAGCGCAGGCAGCGCAGGUUCCCUACGUUUGUUAUUUGUGUUCAGAUUGUAGCGCUCGCGUUUGACUAAAGAAAUCAUGCCUGGUUGCUGUGCCUUCGGAUGCAGCAACCGAACCGAGUCUGGAAAGACUUUUUUCUCGAUUCCGAUUGGAAAAAAUGACCGAGAGCGUCGUUCUGCUUGGCUACAUAGAAUCGGCCGGGAUAACUUCAAGCCUACAAAAAACACCCGUGUGUGCGAGGACCACUUUUGUGCUGAAGACUUUGAGAAGCCUAGAGUGGAUGGGAAGAAGAGGCUAAAGUAUAAAGCUGUGCCAAGCAUUUUUGCACACCGUGUGACAAAGAAAACCAGAAAGCCACCAUUCGCCCGUCUUCCUAGUUCGCCAGCAAACAACUUGGCUGAAGAGGCUGAACCUGAAGGGGAAAACUUGCUAAUAGCUGCUGACAGCACAGCAGAUGGUCUGGACUCUUCAAAAGAGCAACAGGAGCAUACUGGAUCUGCUGAUGUGGCAACAGAAGUGCCAAAAACCUCAGAUGUUCAAGAGGAUGCAUCUCCCAACAUGUUCAAUGAAGUUGACACACUGAAGCGCCAACUUAACUUGGAAAGAAAAAAGCGUGCGAGGGUGGAAAUGGAGUGUGACGCCCUGAGAAGAUCAUUUAGUGGACUGCUUGCAGAAGAUCAGCUCCGUGU
Non-coding RNA from Dermacentor albipictus, 817 nucleotides. NCBI's taxonomy places the organism in Eukaryota, Metazoa, Arthropoda, Arachnida, Ixodida, Ixodidae. The record is from RefSeq and is a predicted model, not a curated record.